AAGUGUGGACGCCAGUCUGCAUGGAGCCGACCUUGAAAUACCACCCUUUAAUGUUUGAUGUUCUAACGUUGGCCCCUGAUCGGGGUUGCGGACAGUGUCUGGUGGGUAGUUUGACUGGGGCGGUCUCCUCCUAAAGAGUAACGGAGGAGCACGAAGGUUGGCUAAUCCUGGUCGGACAUCAGGAGGUUAGUGCAAUGGCAUAAGCCAGCUUGACUGCGAGCGUGACGGCGCGAGCAGGUGCGAAAGCAGGUCAUAGUGAUCCGGUGGUUCUGAAUGGAAGGGCCAUCGCUCAACGGAUAAAAGGUACUCCGGGGAUAACAGGCUGAUACCGCCCAAGAGUUCAUAUCGACGGCGGUGUUUGGCACCUCGAUGUCGGCUCAUCACAUCCUGGGGCUGAAGUAGGUCCCAAGGGUAUGGCUGUUCGCCAUUUAAAGUGGUACGCGAGCUGGGUUUAGAACGUCGUGAGACAGUUCGGUCCCUAUCUGCCGUGGGCGCUGGAGAACUGAGGGGGGCUGCUCCUAGUACGAGAGGACCGGAGUGGACGCAUCACUGGUGUUCGGGUUGUCAUGCCAAUGGCACUGCCCGGUAGCUAAAUGCGGAAGAGAUAAGUGCUGAAAGCAUCUAAGCACGAAACUUGC
RNAcentral lists this ribosomal RNA (638 nucleotides) under Escherichia coli. RNAcentral's name for it is "partial 23S ribosomal RNA". It matches the Rfam family "Bacterial large subunit ribosomal RNA", at positions 2160 to 2797 of the family's 2925-position model. The record is from RNAcentral. Lineage: Bacteria; Pseudomonadati; Pseudomonadota; Gammaproteobacteria; Enterobacterales; Enterobacteriaceae.